Felis catus (domestic cat) is the source of this 3102-nucleotide long non-coding RNA. RefSeq lists it as uncharacterized. NCBI's taxonomy places the organism in Eukaryota, Metazoa, Chordata, Mammalia, Carnivora, Felidae. The transcript is spliced from 3 exons. The record is from RefSeq and is a predicted model, not a curated record.
UCUAGAACUUCUUUAAUAGCCUGUAGAGAAAGGCAUCCAGUAACAGGGAGCUGGGAUGCUGAGACCUGCACCACCACCCCCCACCAGGGUGCCCCGUGGACCAGGCUGUCCGUUGAGGGCACCUCCAUGGGAGAGGCAUACACAUGCCUCCCGAGGGGUUCUGCGGUGGCUGGCCCACGGCUGAAGGGACAGCGGGGUGUGACAGAUCUUACCCCGGGUCAAGGGGAGCAUGACCACUCUGAGUAGGGAGGGGUGACCUGGAACGUCCCCAGGUGGGGGCAAGGCGAUGAUGGUCCUCGCAGGAACAGAGCUGUUGUGCACCUGCUGACGGCCCCCUGAUUCUCAGCUGUCGAAAGGCUCUAGGAACACGGUUUGGAAGGCAGAGGGGAGGCAGCUGUCAUUACCCUCAGCGUUCAGACGGGGUCACGGACAAAUACAGGCUGAUUAGAAGAUGGGAACGGAAGUUUCUCGGGCUGUUUCAGGGCCUGGAAGGACCAUGUGUGGGGAACCCCUGGUAGCUGAGAGCGGUCUCGGCCAACAGCCAGCGAGAGGGUCCUAUAAGCACAAGGAACUGAACCCUUCCAACAACCAUGUGACAGAAGAGAUGGGAGCUCCCAACAGGUGCCCCGGCCCAGCACCUGGACAGCAGCCUGUGUGGCCCUGGGUGGACACCCCAUGUGGAUGGGCCUGCAUAGACGCCCUGCACUGACGGCCUGGUGUGGACGCCCCGCGUGGAUGGGCCUGCCUGGAUGGGCCUGCACGGACGGGCCCGAGUGGACGCCCUGCGUGGAUGGCCCUGCACGGACAGCCCGGCAUGGAUGCCCUGUGUGGGUGGCCCAGCGUAGAGGUGAGGUGGCCCAGCCCUCGGGAGGUGAGUUGAGGAUGUAUGUUGUGGUAAAGCCUCUAAUUGUGUGGUUACUUGCUACCCAGUAAUACAGGGCUUGAGCCACGGGCCCGGUGCUGGACACCUAGCGUUAAGAAAAAAAGAUUCAAAAAUGGAUAUGAUGCUAUUGUCAGCAAGGAACAUCCGGGAAAUACGUGGGGAAAUGGUGAAGCUCGUUAAAGUUCUCCUCCAAUUCCAUGGGCUUGAGCAUCCAGCAGUGACCGGCCUUCCUACAGAUCGGCAGCAAACGGCUUCAGAAAACUAACCACCCGCUGUGGUCCCAGCCCAUGGAAGGGAGGGCGUCAGUGGAACAAACAAAAUCUGGAAACAGAAACGAACGACAGAGGAAACAUCAUGAAUCAGUGAGAAGACGGUGACCCAUUCACGAAAGCCUCCCAUGGGCAAAAAUAAAAUAGAAUUAGAGCUUUACCUACAGCAUACGCCAAGAUUGUCGACAAACGAAACCGUAAGACAAAAUGAGGUGAUGGGGAAGGACUCUUCUAGACGUACCGUGUAGAUACGAUGAAGUGAAAGAUGGGCUAAACUUCUUUACAUUUCCGAACGUCUUUAUGGUCAGAGAAACAUCUUUCUGAUCCUGGGGGAUGUCAUUUGCAUCGCGCGUCCCUGAGAAAAAGGAUUAAUACCCACACAACAUGUGAAGAGCUGUACACAAGUCACUAAGAAGAAUGUCAACCACGAGCGCCAAACAGGAAACCGCCGUGUCCUCCUACGAUACGAGUAAGAGGGAGCCGCCCUUUCCAAACAAAUGAGUAUUUGAACGCUGAUCGUGGCAAACACUCUGGGCUGACAACCCGCGUGGGGGACAGUGUGUGGGGCGUGGGGGUCCAGGGCACCGCCGGGCACCAGGGCGUCUGGCAGCUCCAGUUCCGGGUAAGUCCCCCGGGAAGACUCGUACCCGAUACAUGUCCUGUCCUGACGGUCUCCGCAGCGCGGCCAUCACGUCCCGAGAAAGAAACACCGUGGGGGAGCCUGAACAAAUGUCCCCGCUCAAAUAAUCACUUCCUCAUCCCUGGGACCUGUGGGCGUCAUUUAUAUGGAAAGAGGAGGGUGUUAUUUUAUUCAGCAAAGGACGUUAAGUUAGAGAUCUUGAGAAAAGGGGUUUAUUCUGGAGUGUCCAGGGGACCCUGAGUGCAACUGCCCAGGGGGUCGGGGCGAGGGGACAGACCACAGACAGGAGGCCGUGGGACCAAGGAGGCAGAGCCUGGGAGGAUGUGGCCACAAGUCCAGGAGCCCCUGGGGCCCUCAGAGGCUGGAAGGGGAAGGAAGCACCCAGCCCUGGAGUCCCCGGAGGGAGUUGGUCCCACUGGUACCUUGACGUCUGACUCCUGGCUCCAGACUCCCACCGCUUUAAGCCGACUGGCCUGUGGUGACUUAUUACACCGGCCCCGGAGGUGAACAGUGUCCUCAGCGCCUCCCAGCCAGCACGGGGAUGGCCAAACUCGGGUGGGUAUUUUCCUGCACCCCCGCCCCCCAUGUUUCAUCAGAAUUGUAAAAAAAGCCAAGCCCAGUACCUUCUGUCCAUCUUCAGGCAUACAGGUCAUUAACGUAAAUAACGUACGUGCCUAGUAAGGGUGUACUUGUGAUAAAUAAAGGUGCAAGCGUGUGGGACCCCGCACACGGCCGGGAGGGGCCGCCGCGGGGGAGCGGACAGUUCUGGCUCUCAGGAGGCACCAGAGGCCCCCCACUCAGUAAGGACUUACUUGCACAAAUAAAUUAAAAGUCUGAUGGCAAAUGUGUUUGCUCCUCUAAGGUGGAGAGCUCGUGGCUGCUUAUUAUCUAUCCUCUGAUUUCCUUGUAGUUUUAUUUUUUGUUUCCAAAUCAGAAAAGUCAGGAUAAACAAUAUUAAUAAUCGUGCCUUCCUUCCAAGCUGACUCAUUCCUCCGCAGAGCAUUAAAAGCCUCCCACACAGACGUUUUAAAACCACAGCGGCAAGACCCCGGCUUUCUAAUUUUGAGGCCGGGGUGUCAGAACGCGAGCCUGUGUCAAUUGACAUCUCUCUGCCUAAUAGUUUGAACCUAUUGCUUUUUCCAUGUCCUUCUAACGCACCAUCCGUUUUGCGGUUACGUCCCUGAAAACUCUGAUCUCCUAUCACCUCUUCCCCAUUCUUCUUAACUCUUUAAUAAUGAUCCCGGCAAUGGCAUAUCAGAAUGGAAAUUGCUUCUAAAGAACAUUGUAAUAAAUAUAUGUCAGGCAUAUUA